RNAcentral lists this small nuclear RNA (20 nucleotides) under Arabidopsis thaliana (thale cress). Its description in RNAcentral is "snRNA_06122". Lineage: Eukaryota; Viridiplantae; Streptophyta; Magnoliopsida; Brassicales; Brassicaceae. The record is from RNAcentral.
CCCACCAAUAGGGAACGUGA